UACGGGGGGGGCAAGCGUUGUUCGGAAUUACUGGGCGUAAAGGGCGCGUAGGCGGUCCGCUAAGUUGGAUGUGAAAGCUCAGGGCUUAACCCUGAAAUGGCAUUGAAUACUGCUGUGCUGGAGGUUUGGAGGGGGGACUGGAAUUCUUGGUGUAGCAGUGAAAUGCGUAGAUAUCAAGAGGAACACCAGUGGCGAAGGCGAGUCCCUGGACAACACCUGACACUGAGGCACGAAAGCUAGGGGAGCAAACAGG
This 253-nucleotide ribosomal RNA is filed under the name uncultured bacterium. RNAcentral describes it as "partial 16S ribosomal RNA". It matches the Rfam family "Bacterial small subunit ribosomal RNA", at positions 524 to 776 of the family's 1533-position model. The record is from RNAcentral.